Small nuclear RNA from Mugil cephalus (flathead mullet), 129 nucleotides. RefSeq annotates it as U4atac minor spliceosomal RNA. The transcript has a single exon. The record is from RefSeq and is a predicted model, not a curated record. NCBI's taxonomy places the organism in Eukaryota, Metazoa, Chordata, Actinopteri, Mugiliformes, Mugilidae.
ACCUUCCUUGUCAUGGGGUGGUUUGGGAGACUCAAUGAACGUCUAGUGAGAGCUUCCCUGCUGACACCAUAACGACACAUGCGCACCAGCCGAGCUCCGCGCUCCGGCCCCGGUGCAAUUUUUGGAAAC